UACGUAGGUGGCAAGCGUUAUCCGGAAUUAUUGGGCGUAAAGCGCGCGCAGGUGGUUUCUUAAGUCUGAUGUGAAAGCCCACGGCUCAACCGUGGAGGGUCAUUGGGAACUGGGAGACUUGAGUGCAGAAGAGGAAAGUGGAAUUCCAUGUGUAGCGGUGAAAUGCGUAGAGAUAUGGAGGAACACCAGUGGCGAAGGCGACGUCCUGGUCUGUAACUGACACUGAGGCGCGAAAGCGUGGGGAGCAAACAGG
This 253-nucleotide ribosomal RNA is filed under the name uncultured bacterium. Its description in RNAcentral is "partial 16S ribosomal RNA". It matches the Rfam family "Bacterial small subunit ribosomal RNA", at positions 524 to 776 of the family's 1533-position model. The record is from RNAcentral.